GAAGGGGGCUAGCGUUGUUCGGAAUUACUGGGCGUAAAGCGCGCGCAGGCGGCUAUCCAAGUCAGUGGUGAAAGCCCGGAGCUCAACUCCGGAACUGCCAUUGAAACUGUUUAGCUUGAGGACGAGAGAGGUGAGUGGAAUUCCCAGUGUAGAGGUGAAAUUCGUAGAUAUUGGGAAGAACACCGGUGGCGAAGGCGGCUCACUGGCUCGUAUCUGACGCUCAGGCGCGACAGCGUGGGGAUCAAACAGGAUUAGAUACCCUGGUAGUCCACGCCGUAAACGAUGAUUGCUAGCCGUUGGGCAGCUUGCUGUUCAGUGGCGCAGCUAACGCAUUAAGCAAUCCGCCUGGGGAGUACGGCCGCAAGGUUG
This 369-nucleotide ribosomal RNA is filed under the name uncultured bacterium. RNAcentral's name for it is "bacterial SSU rRNA". It matches the Rfam family "Bacterial small subunit ribosomal RNA", at positions 527 to 896 of the family's 1533-position model. The record is from RNAcentral.